CCUACGGGUGGCAGCAGUGAGGAAUAUUGGUCAAUGGGCGCGAGCCUGAACCAGCCAAGUCGCGUGAGGGAAGACGGUCCUAUGGAUUGUAAACCUCUUUUGUCGGGGAGCAAAAGACGCCACGCGUGGCGUUCCGAGAGUACCCGAAGAAAAAGCAUCGGCUAACUCCGUGCCCGCAGCCGCGGUACUACGGAGGAUGCGAGCGUUAUCCGGAUUUAUUUGGUUUAAAGGGUGCGCAGGCGGAAGAUCAAGGCAGCGGUAAAAUUGAGAGGCUCAACCUCUUCGAGCCGUUGAAACGGGUUUUCUUGAGUGAGUGAGAAGGAUGCGGAAGGCGUGGGGUAGCGGUGAAAUGCAUAGAGAUCACGCAGAACUCCGAGUGCGAAGGCAGCAUACCGGCGCUCAACUGACGCUCAUGCACGAAAGUGUGGGUAUCGAACAGGAUUAGAUACCCGUGUAGUC
Molecule: ribosomal RNA, 459 nt
Filed under: uncultured bacterium
Lineage: Bacteria
Description: partial 16S ribosomal RNA
Rfam family: Bacterial small subunit ribosomal RNA
Source: RNAcentral